RNAcentral lists this ribosomal RNA (253 nucleotides) under uncultured bacterium. RNAcentral describes it as "partial 16S ribosomal RNA". It matches the Rfam family "Bacterial small subunit ribosomal RNA", at positions 524 to 776 of the family's 1533-position model. The record is from RNAcentral.
GACAGAGGGUGCAAGCGUUGUUCGGAAUUAUUGGGCGUAAAGAGCACGUAGGCGGCAUAGCAAGUCAGACGUGAAAGCCCGGAGCUCAACUCCGGAAGUGCAUCUGAAACUGCUAUGCUUGAGUCCCGGAGAGGGUGGUGGAAUUCCCAGUGUAGAGGUGAAAUUCGUAGAUAUUGGGAGGAACAUCGGUGGCGAAGGCGGCCACCUGGACGGUGACUGACGCUGAGGUGCGAAAGCGUGGGUAGCAAACAGG